This 267-nucleotide long non-coding RNA is filed under the name Phoenix dactylifera (date palm). RNAcentral describes it as "long non-coding RNA (PDAC_LNC015803)". Lineage: Eukaryota; Viridiplantae; Streptophyta; Magnoliopsida; Arecales; Arecaceae. The record is from RNAcentral.
UGGUCACAUCGAUUAGUGCAAAAAAUUGUUCCUAUACUACCAGCUUAGGUUCGAACCUAUGAGGUCACACGUAUAAAAGUUUUCUGUUUGAUCAAGAUGGCUGAUGGAUGAUUGAGAAUCAUUCAGGAAUAAUUUGGUCAAUUUGAUUGGCAAAUUAUCCUAUAAAAUAAUUAAAGUAAUUAUUGGAGGAUUAAUUAGUAAUUAGAUUACAAAUAAACUCAAUUUGAUUGAGUAAAUGGACCAAGGAUGAGCCAAAUUGAAUUGGAU